RNAcentral lists this ribosomal RNA (255 nucleotides) under uncultured bacterium. Its description in RNAcentral is "partial 16S ribosomal RNA". It matches the Rfam family "Bacterial small subunit ribosomal RNA", at positions 524 to 776 of the family's 1533-position model. The record is from RNAcentral.
UACGUAGGCAGCAAGCGUUGUUCGGAGUUACUGGGCGUAAAGGGUGUGUAGGCGGUUCUUUUAAGUUUGCUGUGAAAUCUCCCGGCUUAACCGGGAGGGUGCGGUGAAUACUGAGGGACUAGAGUACGGGAGAGGAAAGUGGGAAUUCCUGGUGUAGCGGUGAAAUGCGUAGAUAUCAGGAGGAACACCGGUGGUGUAGACGGCUUUCUGGACCGACACUGACGCUGAGACACGAAAGCGUGGGUAGCAAACAGG